CACACCGCCCGUCACACCACGAAAGUCAACUAUACCAGAAGUCUCUGUGCCAACCGUAAGGAGGCAGGAGCCCAAGGUAUGGUCGAUGAUUGGGGUG
This 97-nucleotide ribosomal RNA is filed under the name uncultured bacterium. RNAcentral's name for it is "partial 16S ribosomal RNA". It matches the Rfam family "Bacterial small subunit ribosomal RNA", at positions 1386 to 1482 of the family's 1533-position model. The record is from RNAcentral.